Molecule: ribosomal RNA, 396 nt
Filed under: uncultured bacterium
Lineage: Bacteria
Description: bacterial SSU rRNA
Rfam family: Bacterial small subunit ribosomal RNA
Source: RNAcentral
UAUUGCACAAUGGGUGAAACCCUGAUGCAGCAACGCCGCGUGAGUGAAGAAGUAUUUCGAUAUGUAAAGCUCUAUCAGCAGGGAAGAAGAUGACGGUACCUGAGUAAGAAGCCCCGGCUAACUACGUGCCAGCAGCCGCGGUAAUACGUAGGGGGCAAGCGUUAUCCGGAUUUACUGGGUGUAAAGGGAGCGUAGACGGCAUAGCAAGUCUGAAGUGAAAGGCGGGGGCCCAACCCCCGGACUGCUUUGGAAACUGUAUGGCUGGAGUGCAGGAGAGGUAAGUGGAAUUCCUAGUGUAGCGGUGAAAUGCGUAGAUAAUAGGAGGAACACCAGUGGCGAAGGCGGCUUACUGGACUAUAACUGACGUUGAGGCUCGAAAGCGUGGGGAGCAAACAG